GAGGAGGGUCUCUGCCCGGCCACCCAUCGUCUGAGAUGUGAGGAGCCCCUCUGCCCCGCUGCCCAGUCUGGGAAGUGAGGACCGCCUCUUCCCGGCCGCCAUCCCAUCUAGGAAGUGACGCGCGCCUCUGCCCCACCACCCCGUCUGGGAUGUGAGGAGCGCCUCUGCCCGGUCGCGACCCCGUCUGGGAGGUGAGGAGCCCCUCCGCCCGGCAGCCACCCCGUCUGGGAGGUGGGGAGCGUCUCCGCCCAGCAGCCGCCCUGUCCAGGAGGGAGGUGGGGAGUCAGCCCCCGCCCAGCCGGCUACCCCGUCCGGGAGGUGGGGGGCGCCUCUGCCCGGCCGCCCCUUCUGGGAAGUGAGGGGCCCCUCUGCCCGGCCGCCACCCCGUCUGGGAGCUCAUAGUCUGGCAACCAUACUUCCCACUGAUCGCCAGCAAAGGACGGACCCUGCAGCCAGCAUGCAAAGGGUUGCAAAGCAAGGCACGCCUCCGGGUGUGUGGCACGUUCUUUUGAACCCAGUGAACCAUCUUGUUGGUAAGGACUGAGGUUUUCCCCUAGAUUACUAAGCAGUUUUGAAAGCCAUUCUUUUAUGAAUGACACAGAUCAGCCCCCAAAAUAGUUGGAGGGUUCUUUUCCUCUUUGCUUCAGUUCACUAGCUUCCAAGAAUGUGGACACCAUUUCAAAGCUUUAGUGGUGGCCACCUACCUGCAGAAAACAGUAGUCCUUUUCCAUCUCUCAUGACUUGAGGCAUGUGCUGCACUCACCAGGAGUUGAACACAAUUGCAACUAUCAGAGCUCACAGCAAAAAUGAUGACGUGAUCUGAGGCAACACUAGAAAUUCAAUAGCUUCAGCGAAGUCAUCAAUUCAGCCAAUGCAGCCCUUGCCCGUACAGUUAGACAAAGACAUCAUCUGGAAUUUCAUCCCCAUUUCCUCUGCAAAGAAGUUUUGGCAGACACAAAAAUACGCUAAUUUUCAUGAGCCUAUCUUUAAUGAGGACUUUUUAAAAUCUUUUCAAGUUACAGGAUUAUUUAAUAUAAAAUUUUCACAGCUUUUGUGGAUUUCGAUAAUGUGUUCCAGUUCCAUUCCAUCUCAUGUGUGGAAGAAAAGUGAUGUUUCCAAAAUAAAUGAAUACACUUCACCAUUUAAAUUUUUUUGAAUUUUUUUUUUAAAUUUUAUAUUCAGGGGAUGCAUGUGCAGAUUUGUUACACAGAUAUAUCAUGUAAUGCUGAAGUUUGAGCUUCUGGUGAACCCAUCACCCAAAUAGUGAAUACAGUACUCAAUAGGUGGUGUUUCCACCCUUCCCCCUCCUCCUCCCUCCUUUUAGGGUAUCUGAUGUCUACUGUUCCGAUUUUUAUGUGCAUGUGUACCCAUUGUUUUGCUCCCGCUUAUAAGUGAGAACAUAUGAUAUUAACUUUCUGUUUCUGCAUUAAUUUACUUAGGAUAAUGGCCUCCAGCUGCAUCCAAGUUGCUGCAAAGGACAUGAUUUCAUUCUUGUUUAUGGCUGCAUAGUAUUCCAUGCUUUAUCUAAUCCACUGUUGAUGGGCACUUGUGUUGAUUCCAUGACCUUGCUAUUGACGUCACCAUUUUUAAAAUAAGACUUUUAUGACUAAGGCUAACUGGCACCACUGCUCAGCUUUUAAAAAUAUAUCCAAUAUUCCUCUUACUCUUCACAAUAUACAUUCAUGUCCACAUGAAUCACUCAUGAAAUCGCUGGUUAUUCCUUACGAAUCGAUUUGGUUUUCUUCCAAAUUGACCCAGGAAUUCUGAAAUUUGGCAGGCCUGCAAAGUGAGGAAGAUGUUACAAUAAUGUACUGUUGGACACUGGAUGCUAAGGUUACUCCAGGUGUCCAACCACGUAUGCAAGAUUUUUUAUCAUUUCAUGUCAAUAGUAUCAAUAAUAUAAAAAUAAGUGGUUGAUUUUAAAAAAAUACACACACAAGUUGUCUAAAGUUUGACAUUUUCCUCUGCCUUCCUGAAAAUAGACACUUUUCAACAUCAUUUAUACCUUAUUUAAGGUAUCGCAUUUGUUGCCCAUGCAGUGUUCGAGAGACCUCAUUCAAAAGAUCUCGUGUUUACCUACCCAUGCUGAGGACCACAAGGUUGAACAGUAACAAUAAAGUCCACUGUGUCCUGUAAUUAAUAUCUCACUUCACUCUGUUUCUUCUCAACUAUGAGUAAAAGAAUUUUAUUCCCCUUCCUUCACAACAAAAAUGUUCUGCAAUUAUAGUUUUCUCUCUUGCUUGUCAAAGAGCUAAACAGGCCAAUCUCACUGGCUUUUUGUAAUUGUCCAAUUUAUUUUAUUUUAUUUUUAAAUUGAGAUAUAAUUAAUAUAUCAUUUAUUAAAAAUCUAUAGUUCAUUUUAAUUUCUAAAGCAAUGUUGUAACUGAAAUAAAUUUAAUAUAUGCUAUUAAGUGUCAUCAUCAUUAGACUGAUACAUUUUAUAGUAUUUUGCUAAGAUUAAGCCUCUUUUGACUACAAUUCCAUUUCCCCACUUAUGCAUCUUCACAGUGGGUUUUUUAAAGCAACAACACAGGCCCACAGUGGUCCACACCUAUAAUCCCAGCACAUUGGGAGGCUGAGACGGGAGGAUCGCUUGAGUUGGAGACCAGCCUGGCAAUAUAGCAAGACUCCUUCUCUAUUAAAAUAAAAAAAAAAAAUUAGCUGGGCAUGGUGGUGGACACCUACAGUCCCAGCCACUCGGGAGGCUGAGGUCAGAGGAUCACCUGAGCCAGGCAGCCACAGCAAGCUAUGAUCACACUGCUGCACUCCAGCGUGGGCAACAGAGCGAAACCUUGUCUUGAAAAAAAAUAAAAUAAAAUAAAAUAAAAUAUUCCCC
This 2836-nucleotide long non-coding RNA is filed under the name Homo sapiens (human). RNAcentral describes it as "HSALNT0081811". The record is from RNAcentral. Lineage: Eukaryota; Metazoa; Chordata; Mammalia; Primates; Hominidae.